UGGGGAAUUGUUCGCAAUGGGCGCAAGCCUGACGACGCAACGCCGCGUGGAGGACGAAGAUCUUCGGAUCGUAAACUCCUGUCGAGUGGGACGAACGGCCCCGGACCCAAUACGUCCGGGGAGUGACGGUACCGCGCGAGGAAGCCCCGGCUAACUCCGUGCCAGCAGCCGCGGUAAUACGGGGGGGGCAAGCGUUGUUCGGAAUUACUGGGCGUAAAGGGCUCGUAGGCGGCCAUCUUAGUCGGACGUGAAAUCCCUCGGCUCAACCGGGGAACUGCGUCUGAUACUGGUUGGUUCGAAUCCGGGAGAGGGAUGCGGAAUUCCAGGUGUAGCGGUGAAAUGCGUAGAUAUCUGGAGGAACACCGGUGGCGAAGGCGGCAUCCUGGACCGGUAUUGACGCUGAUGAGCGAAAGCCAGGGGAGCAAACGGG
Molecule: ribosomal RNA, 430 nt
Filed under: Fusobacteriota bacterium
Lineage: Bacteria; Fusobacteriati; Fusobacteriota
Description: Fusobacteria bacterium partial 16S ribosomal RNA
Rfam family: Bacterial small subunit ribosomal RNA
Source: RNAcentral